GAGACUUUGUAGAGUGUGGGGUAGAGAAAAGGCUCAUGAAUAUGCCUGAAGCCUAACUCAGCACCUUUCUGAGGAACUGACUGCCAAAAUGGUAAUGGAGAGGGGAAAAUAUGACCUACUUUCACAAGUUACCUUGACUGCCUCAGGGAAACCUGCUGUGGUAGUGUUUCUUCUGGGUGAAAGACCAGGUAAUUACCUGGGUGCUGGUCUCAGACUUACCAGUUUUGAAUCCCUGUUUUAACCACUCACUAUCGAUAUGACCUUGGAUAAGUUACCUAACCUUUCUCUUACUGUCCUUUUCCGUAAAAUGGGGAUAACAGAUAGUAGUUAUUUCUAUGAGUGGUUAUGAGAACCAAGCUAUUAGCGGGAAAGCACACAGUAAGCGUUCAAGGAACUGCUAUUGUUAUUAAAAGCCUCCUUUGGAAGAAGGACAUUGAGGCCCAGAGAGAGAACAGAACGUCCAGCCACACAGCAAAUCCGUGAUGAAGUUGGGACUGGAGUAUGGGUCUCCUGAGUCUCAGCCCAGGACUCUAUCCCUCUUCCCGAGUCCUCGGAGUUCCCGGAUGGAGUCACAUUUGUUCACGGCCAGGGAGGAAGGUUUGAUGGAGGCCUGCAGGAAACAACAGCCAGGCGCAAGGCUUUGGGAGUUGAAGCAUAGCUUCUGCGAGAUAGAAACAAGGUUGACAUGGGCACUCGUGCAGAAUGACGGGCUCCUUUUGGACUCCCAGGACUACAGUCCCUUAUGCACCUUGGGAUCUGCAGCUAGCCCCUGCGUAAAGAGGGACGCGUAGUCUUUUCCCUGCCCCGCCCUCCCGGGGCGCCCGCCUCCGAGGCCGCCCUCGCUUCGUCCUUCCCAGCAAGCUCCGCGCCGGCGCCGGCUAUUGAUUGGCUGAGGCGGGAGCAGGCGGCUGGCCGGCAGCAGUUACUCGGGGUUUCCGGUGCGAGGCCAGAGGUGGGGAAGCCAUCGGACGUCGGCGGUGAGGAUCAUCUCCUGACCCAGCAUCGCUCGUCACAAUGAAGAACCAAGACAAAAAGAACGGGGCUGCCAAACAAUCCAAUCCAAAAAGCAGCCCAGGACAACCGGAAGCAGGACCCGAGGGAGCCCAGGAGCGGCCCAGCCAGGCGGCUCCUGCAGUAGAAGCGGAAGGUCCCGGCGGCAGCCAGGCUCCUCGGAAGCCGGAGGGGGCUCAAGCCAGAACGGCUCAGUCUGGGGCCCUUCGUGAUGUCUCUGAGGAGCUGAGCCGCCAACUGGAAGACAUACUGAGCACAUACUGUGUGGACAAUAACCAGGGGGGCCCCGGCGAGGAUGGGGCACAGGGUGAGCCGGCUGAACCCGAAGAUGCAGAGAAGUCCCGGGCCUAUGUGGCAAGGAAUGGGGAGCCUGAACCAACUCCAGUAGUCAAUGGAGAGAAGGAACCCUCCAAGGGGGAUCCAAACACAGAAGAGAUCCGGCAGAGUGACGAGGUCGGAGACCGAGACCAUCGAAGGCCACAGGAGAAGAAAAAAGCCAAGGGUUUGGGGAAGGAGAUCACGUUGCUGAUGCAGACAUUGAAUACUCUGAGUACCCCAGAGGAGAAGCUGGCUGCUCUGUGCAAGAAGUAUGCUGAACUGCUGGAGGAGCACCGGAAUUCACAGAAGCAGAUGAAGCUCCUGCAGAAAAAGCAGAGCCAGCUGGUGCAAGAGAAGGACCACCUGCGCGGUGAGCACAGCAAGGCCGUCCUGGCCCGCAGCAAGCUUGAGAGCCUAUGCCGUGAGCUGCAGCGGCACAACCGCUCCCUCAAGGAAGAAGGUGUGCAGCGGGCCCGGGAGGAGGAGGAGAAGCGCAAGGAGGUGACCUCCCACUUCCAGGUGACACUGAAUGACAUUCAGCUGCAGAUGGAACAGCACAAUGAGCGCAACUCCAAGCUGCGCCAAGAGAACAUGGAGCUGGCUGAGAGGCUCAAGAAGCUGAUUGAGCAGUAUGAGCUGCGCGAGGAGCAUAUCGACAAAGUCUUCAAACACAAGGACCUACAACAGCAGCUGGUGGAUGCCAAGCUCCAGCAGGCCCAGGAGAUGCUAAAGGAGGCAGAAGAGCGGCACCAGCGGGAGAAGGAUUUUCUCCUGAAAGAGGCAGUAGAGUCCCAGAGGAUGUGUGAGCUGAUGAAGCAGCAAGAGACCCACCUGAAGCAACAGCUUGCCCUAUACACAGAGAAGUUUGAGGAGUUCCAGAACACACUUUCCAAAAGCAGCGAGGUAUUCACCACAUUCAAGCAGGAGAUGGAAAAGGUAACUGUGGUCCAGGCCAGGCAUGGCUGCUGGGGCAUAAGCUGCUUCAUUCAAAAUUGUCGGGCCUGCCUUCAGGAAGCUCCCAUCUGGGGUGUCUCAAGGGCAGGGCUGUUAGGAAGGUUCACAGCCUUUCCCCUCUUGAGGCAGUAUCAGUGAUGACUAAGAAGAUCAAGAAGCUGGAGAAAGAAACCACCAUGUACCGGUCCCGGUGGGAGAGCAGCAACAAGGCCCUGCUUGAGAUGGCUGAGGAGAAAACAGUCCGGGAUAAAGAACUGGAGGGCCUGCAGGUAAAAAUCCAACGGCUGGAGAAGCUGUGCCGGGCGCUGCAGACAGAGCGCAAUGACCUGAACAAGAGGGUACAGGACCUGAGUGCUGGUGGCCAGGGCUCCCUCACUGACAGUGGCCCUGAGAGGAGGCCAGAGGGGCCUGGGGCUCAAGCACCCAGCUCCCCCAGGGUCACAGAAGCGCCUUGCUACCCAGGAGCACCGAGCACAGAAGCAUCAGGCCAGACUGGGCCUCAAGAGCCCACCUCCGCCAGGGCCUAGAGAGCCUGGUGUUGGGUCAUGCUGGGAAGGGAGCGGCAGCCCAGCCAGGCCUGGCCCAUAAAAGGCUCCCAUGCUGAGCAGCCCAUUGCUGAAGCCAGGAUGUUCUGACCUGGCUGGCAUCUGGCACUUGCAAUUUUGGAUUUUGUGGGUCAGUUUUACGUACAUAGGGCAUUUUGCAAGGCUUUGCAAAUGCAUUUAUACCUGUAAGUGUACAGUGGGCUUGCAUUGGGGAUGGGGGUGUGUACAGAUGAAGUCAGUGGCUCGUCUGUGAGCUGAAGAGUCUUGAGAGGGGCUGUCAUCUGUAGCUGCCAUCACAGUGAGUUGGCAGAAGUGACUUGAGCAUUUCUCUGUCUGAUUUGAGGCUCAGACCCCUCCCUGCCCUUCAGAGCUCAAGACAAGUAAUACACCCAGGUCUUGACUGCAUUUGUCUUGUGAGCAGGGCUUGCUUGGGCAGCUCAGGCCCUCCUAGCUGCUCUGGAGGCUCCUUUGAUUCUCUAGACCUGGAAAAGGUGUCCCUAGGCAGAGCCCUGGCAGGGCGCUCAGAGCUGGGGAUUUCCUGCCUGGAACAACGGACCUGGAGAAUGUUUUUGCGUGGGAUGAUGUGCUGGUCAGGAGCCCCUUGGGCAUCACUUCCCCUGCCCUUUGGUAGUGCCAGGACCAGGCCAAUGAUGCUUCUCAGUAGCCUUAUCAUUCACAGGUGCCUCUCUAGCCUGCACAAAUGAUUGACAAGAGAUCACCCAAAGGAUUAUUUCUGAAGGUGUUUUUUUCUUUAUUUCUUUGUUUUUUUUUGCACAUGACAGUGUUUGUAUUGAGGACCUUCCAAGGAAGAGGGGUGCUAUAGCAGUGGUGCCUGGGUGCCUGGCCUCCAGUGUCCCACCUCCUUCACCACCCCACUUGGCUCCUUUGCCAUCUUGAUGCUGAGGUUUCCUGUUUGGUGAGAUCAGGUUGUUUGUUGUAAAAGAAAGGAAAGGGCUUCUGAUGGCUUUGCCACAAGCUUACCUGUGGGUUUCAGUCCUGAGAGGCCACCACCAGUUCCCAUCAGCACUGUCUCCAUGCAGCAGUUGCUGGGUCCCAUGUCCAGCUGCCUCUUUGGCUUCAUGGGUUUUUCUGCUUCCUGCCCCCACCCCCACAUGUGCAAUCCUCAAGAUUUGUCCUGAUUCUAUUUCCUGGCACCUCCCUGCCUGUCCUUGGGGAUUCUACUUCUUCCUGUGUGGGAGCCCAUAGCUGUUGUCUAAUAGGUAAGAAAUGAAAUUGAACUAUUGACUGGGCCCCAGAAAUCCAUAAAAUGGCUGCAGACAGUUGUUUCUGUGUCCUGUUCUACCCCCACUCCAGUACAUAACUACUAUGUACUGUGUAGAGCCAUUCUAUAUGCUGAAUGUUCUGCUGUUGCAAACUUGCCAGGGUAUUAGCCAGUGUUUGUGCAAAGCAGUUUUCUGGGACAACAGAAUGACUCAGACCAAGAUGGAUAGGAUGGUUAGGGCUUUGCUUCUUGCUGUUUUUCUUUGAAGCUAGUUCAUUGUCCUGCAGGUCCCUUCAUCUUCCAUACCUAGCCCACUCUUUUAGCCCUUACCUUAAAUCUCUCAGAUAAGUUGGUUCACAAAGAAUGUUAAGUACUGAAUCAUGUGUGACUGAGACCAGAGAUGGCAAAUGAAUGGCACACCAUUUCUCCUUCUCCUGCCCCAGGGCAGGUACCACUGAUCUGCAUCAGAGUUGCCUGCUAUUCUCUGGUGUAUCCUUCACAUCUAGGUGCCCUCAAGCAGCUGUGUGAGUGUUGAGAUCUCUGCCAUCUCUGGCUGAGAUAUUGCUGUCCUGUGAAGUGUUUCCCAUGAUCUUUUUCUUCCCCUUUGAAUCCCUCUGUCUGGAGUAGUCCUUGCCUCUUCCUGCUCCAGUAGGGCCUUUUCCCUACCCCAGCCCCUGUGCCAGGCUAAGCUGGUACAAGAGCUGCCAACCUCACAGAGUGUUUGCUAGGCGAGAGAGGUGCAGGGAAGAGGCAGAGGUAUGCACCUUUCCCCUUGAAGAGAGGGGAAAGGCCUACAGUGGCCCACAUAAUUGCCUGACUCACACUUCAGCUACCUCUUAAUGCCUGUGGAGGGACUGGAGCUGCUGGAUCCCAGUGUGGUGGUGUAGGAGGCCACAGUGAGCAGGUGGCCCCAGCUGGGUUUCCCAGGUCAGGAAUGUGGGCCCCAGGCAAGGUGCAGCCUUUGCUCACAGCUCCAUCCAUGUCUAGACCUUCAGGCCAGUCUGCAGAUGAGGGUCCCUACCUUUUUCUUCUCUUCAUUGACCAAAUCAACCAAUCACUACAGCUGCUCUGCUUCUGCUUUCCAAAGUAGCCCAGGUCCUGGGCCAGAUGCAGGGGAGGUGCCUAUCCAUGAGUGAAGGCCAGUGUCUUCCUCACCUGGGUGGGUCCCACACUUGUGACCUCAGUUUUAGGACCAAGAUCUGUGUUGGUUUCUUAGAUUGCUAGCUUUUCCUCCAGGGGACCACAGCAGGUGAAGCUCAAGAGCGCAUGGCUCUGCUAAUAGUAAGUUGUUUUCAGGGCCUUGUCCAGCUGAGAGCUUCAUGUCCACCAGAUUCUGAGAGGUGUCAGCAGCACUUUUUUUUUUUUUAUUUGUUGUUUGUUUUCCAUGAGGUUAUCGGACCAUGGGCUGAGCUCAGGCACUUUCUGUAGGAGACUGUUAUUUCUGUAAAGAUGGUUAUUUAACCCUCCUCCACCCCAUCACGGUGGCCCUGAGGGCUGACCCGGAGGCCAGUGGAGCUGCCUGGUGUCCACGGGGGAGGGCCAAGGCCUGCUGAGCUGAUUCUCCAGCUGCUGCCCCAGCCUUUCCGCCUUGCACAGCACAGAGGUGGUCACCCCAGGGACAGCCAGGCACCUGCUCCUCUUGCCCUUCCUGGGGGAAGGGAGCUGCCUUCUGUCCCUGUAACUGCUUUCCUUAUGGCCCAGCCCGGCCACUCAGACUUGUUUGAAGCUGCACUGGCAGCUUUUUUGUCUCCUUUUGGUAUUCACAACAGCCAGGGACUUGAUUUUGAUGUAUUUUAAACCACAUUAAAUAAAGAGUCUGUUGCCUUA
Molecule: RNA transcript, 5877 nt
Organism: Pan troglodytes (chimpanzee)
Lineage: Eukaryota; Metazoa; Chordata; Mammalia; Primates; Hominidae
Gene: TXLNA
Gene name: taxilin alpha
Exons: 11
Source: RefSeq, a predicted model, not a curated record